GCAAGUCGAGGGGUAACAGGAGAGCUUGCUCUCGCUGACGACCGGCGCACGGGUGCGUAACGCGUAUGCAACCUACCCAUAACAGGGGGAUAGCCCGGAGAAAUCCGGAUUAACACCGCAUAAUACAUUAUAAUCGCAUGAUUUUGAUGUUAAAUAUUUAUAGGUUAUGGAUGGGCAUGCGUAAGAUUAGAUAGUUGGUGAGGUAAUGGCUCACCAAGUCAACGAUCUUUAGGGGUUCUGAGAGGAAGGUC
Molecule: ribosomal RNA, 251 nt
Filed under: uncultured bacterium
Lineage: Bacteria
Description: partial 16S ribosomal RNA
Rfam family: Bacterial small subunit ribosomal RNA
Source: RNAcentral